This 460-nucleotide ribosomal RNA is filed under the name uncultured bacterium. RNAcentral describes it as "partial 16S ribosomal RNA". It matches the Rfam family "Bacterial small subunit ribosomal RNA", at positions 338 to 795 of the family's 1533-position model. The record is from RNAcentral.
CCUACGGGAGGCAGCAGUGAGGAAUAUUGGUCAAUGGGCGUAAGCCCGAACCAGCCAAGUCGCGUGCGGGAUGAAGGUUCUAUGGAUCGUAAACCUCUUUUAUAAGGGAAUAAAGUGUGGGACGUGUCCUGUUUUGUAUGUACCUUAUGAAUAAGGAUCGGCUAACUCCGUGCCAGCAGCCGCGGUAAUACGGAGGAUCCGAGCGUUAUCCGGAUUUAUUGGGUUUAAAGGGUGCGUAGGCGGCCUUUUAAGUCAGCGGUGAAAGUCUGUGGCUCAACCAUAGAAUUGCCGUUGAAACUGGGAGGCUUGAGUAUGUUUGAGGCAGGCGGAAUGCGUGGUGUAGCGGUGAAAUGCUUAGAUAUCACGCAGAACCCCGAUUGCGAAGGCAGCCUGCCAAGCCAUGACUGACGCUGAUGCACGAAAGCGUGGGGAUCAAACAGGAUUAGAUACCCGAGUAGUC